AGUGAACGCUGGCGGUAGGCCUAACACAUGCAAGUCGAACGGCAGCACAGUAAGAGCUUGCUCUUACGGGUGGCGAGUGGCGGAAGGGUGAGGUAUACAUCGGAAUCUACUUUUUCGUGGGGGAUAACGUAGGGAAACUUACGCUAAUACAGCAUACGACGCACGGGUGAGAGCAGGGGAUAUUCGGACCUUUCGCGAUUGUAUGAGCCGAUGUCGGUUUAGCUAGUUGGCGGGGUAAAGGCCCACCAAGGCGACGAUCCGUAGCUGGUCUGGGAGGAUGAUCAGCCACACUGGAACUGAGACACGGUCCAGACUCCUACGGGAGGCAGCAGUGGGGAAUAUUGGACAAUGGGCGCAAGCCUGAUCCAGCCAUACCGCGUGGGUGAAGAAGGCCUUCGGGUUGUAAAGCCCUUUUGUUGGGAGAGAAAAGCAGCAGGUUAAUACCCCGCUGUUCUGACGGUACCCAAAGAAUAAGCACCGGCUAACUUCGUG
This 492-nucleotide ribosomal RNA is filed under the name uncultured bacterium. RNAcentral's name for it is "partial 16S ribosomal RNA". It matches the Rfam family "Bacterial small subunit ribosomal RNA", at positions 29 to 507 of the family's 1533-position model. The record is from RNAcentral.